Molecule: ribosomal RNA, 497 nt
Filed under: uncultured bacterium
Lineage: Bacteria
Description: partial 16S ribosomal RNA
Rfam family: Bacterial small subunit ribosomal RNA
Source: RNAcentral
GAUGAACGCGGGCGGCGUGCCUAAUACAUGCAAGUCGAGCGAACAGACGAGGAGCUUGCGCCUCUGACGUUAGCGGCGGACGGGUGAGUAACACGUGGAUAACCUACCUAUAAGACUGGGAUAACUUCGAGAAACCGGAGCUAAUACCGGAUAAGAUAUUGAACCGCAUGGGUCAAGAGUGAAAGACGGUUUUGCGGUCACGUAUAGAUGGAUCAGCGCCGCAUUAGCUAGUUGGUAAGGGAACGGCUUUCCAAGGCAACGAUGCGUAGCCGCGCGGAAAGGGUGCUCGGCCCCCCUGGAACUGGGCCUCGGCCCAGACCCCUACGGGAGGCUGCAGCCGGGAACCUUGCGCCAUGCGCGCAGACCUGCCGCAGCCCCGCCGAGUGCGUGAUGAAGGUCUUCGGCUCGCAACACUCUCUUAUUCGUGACGAACCAAUGUGUCCGUGCCUAUGCACGUCUUGCCGGUACCUAGUCAGAAAGCUACGGCUAACUACGUG